ACAGGAGGUGGGCUGGGUGAAGGAAAGGGGGGCUACCCUUGGGAACAAAGUCAGGCUGUGAAGCCAAGAGGCCAGCUCCUUGCGUAAGCCCUUCUGAUGCAACCAGCAGGCAGACAAUUCCUUUGGCCAGCCUGGAGUCUUUCUGAGAAAGGGAAACCGGGGAGUGGGAUCCACCCCCUUCCCUCCGCCCAACCUUCCGAGCUGUGCCAGCUCCUCUGAAUUGAAAAGAAAAAGAAAAUCUUCAUAACAAAUGCAACAACUGUAACAAUUAUGACAAAUAAAUCCCCCCACUGACCAGCUCCCUCUCUGAGACCUUCCAAAGAAGACUUCCAGGCCCAUCAGCAAGCUGUACCCCUCACUAGGGGAAGAAGCUGUGGUGUCUUGGACAAAGAAAUGAACUUGGAGAGAGAAGACCCACUGCUAAGUCCGGAGUCUUGGCUCUGCCCUCCAUAGUAUAACCUUGGCUGAGACAUCUCGCUGAGCUAGAAGACUAGGCAUAGGGAAUGAUGGACGCCCUGCAAAUAUUUGUUGAAGCAAAUUGAAUUAUAAACCAAGAUCCAGUAGAAUGAUGGAUCCCUGGGCAAUGAAGGGAGGAGGGGUAUAUUCAGAAAUAAAGACGUU
Phascolarctos cinereus (koala) is the source of this 621-nucleotide non-coding RNA. The record is from RefSeq and is a predicted model, not a curated record. Lineage: Eukaryota; Metazoa; Chordata; Mammalia; Diprotodontia; Phascolarctidae.